Molecule: transfer RNA, 66 nt
Filed under: Pseudorimula sp. RSIO35641
Lineage: Eukaryota; Metazoa; Mollusca; Gastropoda; Lepetellida; Lepetodrilidae
Description: tRNA-Gly
Source: RNAcentral
ACUUGCUUAGUAUAAUAAGUAUGAUUGCCUUCCAAGCAGCAGGUUUAACAUGGGUUAAAGUGAGUA